GGAUAAGGGGGUGGGGAUAAGAAAAAAAUAUAUAAAGAGAAACAAAAUGUAUAAUUUAUAUAUAUAUAUAUAUAUAUAUAGAAAUAAAAAAAAUAUUUUUAAUAUAUAAAUAUUUUAUAUUUUGUUUCUCUCUCUAUAUUUUCUUCCUUAUUCUCCACCCUUAUCCACCCAUUCUAAAAAGUAUCCAAACAAAGUUAAA
RNAcentral lists this long non-coding RNA (199 nucleotides) under Actinidia chinensis (golden kiwifruit). RNAcentral describes it as "long non-coding RNA (ACHI_LNC001963)". Lineage: Eukaryota; Viridiplantae; Streptophyta; Magnoliopsida; Ericales; Actinidiaceae. The record is from RNAcentral.